This 254-nucleotide ribosomal RNA is filed under the name uncultured bacterium. Its description in RNAcentral is "partial 16S ribosomal RNA". It matches the Rfam family "Bacterial small subunit ribosomal RNA", at positions 524 to 776 of the family's 1533-position model. The record is from RNAcentral.
UACGUAGGUGGCAAGCGUUGUCCGGAAUUAUUGGGCGUAAAGCGCGUGUAGGCGGUCCGGUAAGUCGGCUGUGAAAGUCCAGGGCUCAACCCUGGGAUGCCGGUCGAUACUGCCGGACUAGAGUUCGGAAGAGGCGAGUGGAAUUCCCCGGUGUAGCGGUGAAAUGCGCAGAUAUCGGGAGGAACACCAAUGGCGAAGGCAGCUCGCUGGGACGUUACUGACGCUGAGACGCGAAAGCGUGGGGAGCAAACAGG